RNAcentral lists this transfer RNA (72 nucleotides) under Candidatus Doudnaibacteriota bacterium. Its description in RNAcentral is "Candidatus Doudnabacteria bacterium tRNA-Asn". It matches the Rfam family "tRNA". Rfam says of the family: Transfer RNA (tRNA) molecules are approximately 80 nucleotides in length. Their secondary structure includes four short double-helical elements and three loops (D, anti-codon, and T loops). Lineage: Bacteria; Candidatus Doudnaibacteriota. The record is from RNAcentral.
UGGCUAGUAGCUCAACGGUAGAGCAAUCGACUGUUAAUCGAUGGGUUGUAGGUUCGAAUCCUACCUGGCCAG